UCUUGCUCUUGCUCCUUCGCCUGCUUGCCAUGUGAGACUGAGUAACUGCUAGAUCCUUGGACUUCCAUUCACAGCUGCGACUGAACGAUUGUAAGGAAUUGGGCUGCCGACUUGUGAAUCACAGCACAUUAGCACUGUGAAGAAGGACAAACAGAUGAAUUUCCACUUUUUUUCCUCAGUGUGACUUUGAAGAUAUUCUCAGUAAAGAGAUAGCCUUGCAAGGGAAAUGCCAAUUGAGAGGGAGAUUGCAAGGGGAUACAGAUCAACAGUACCAAGCCCACAUCUGAGAAGCUGUACGAACAAUUACUAACUACAAAAAUAUUGGACAAGAUGGGGGUAUUUGCUCAGCACUUUAAUCCAGAGGCAUAGGAAGGUGUAUUUCCUCAAGCUGGAGGCCUGCAUCAUCUAUGAAACCGAUUCCAGGACAGCAAAAGUUACAUAUUAAGACUCUCACUCCCCCUGCAAAUAUCACCCAAGGAAACAGAAAUGACAGAAAGAACCCAUAGUUCUGCACUGAAAUUCCUACAAAGAAUUAUACAUUAACUGCAGUUCUGUAUUCAUCUUGCAGAAACAUGAAGUAUACCAGUUUAAAUUGCAACAUUAAUAAAAUUUUGCUAAAAGAGAAUGAAUUUAUAAAGAGUUACAAAUGG
RNAcentral lists this long non-coding RNA (650 nucleotides) under Mus musculus (house mouse). Its description in RNAcentral is "predicted gene, 50489". Lineage: Eukaryota; Metazoa; Chordata; Mammalia; Rodentia; Muridae. The record is from RNAcentral.